This 253-nucleotide ribosomal RNA is filed under the name uncultured prokaryote. RNAcentral describes it as "partial 16S ribosomal RNA". It matches the Rfam family "Bacterial small subunit ribosomal RNA", at positions 524 to 776 of the family's 1533-position model. The record is from RNAcentral.
UACGUAGGGGGCGAGCGUUGUCCGGAUUUAUUGGGCGUAAAGGGUCCGGAGGCGGUCGUUGAAGUUUCGCGUGACAGUCCUCGGCUUAACUGAGGAAGGAUGCGGAAAACUGAGCGACUUGAGGGCGUAAGAGGAAAGCGGAAUUCCGGGUGGAGUGGUGAAAUUCGUAGAUAUCGGGAGGAACACCAGUGGCGAAGGCGGCGACCUGGACGGACAUUGACGCUGAGACGCGAAAGCGUGGGGAGCAAACAGG